RNAcentral lists this ribosomal RNA (309 nucleotides) under uncultured bacterium. RNAcentral describes it as "partial 16S ribosomal RNA". It matches the Rfam family "Bacterial small subunit ribosomal RNA", at positions 504 to 807 of the family's 1533-position model. The record is from RNAcentral.
AGAGACAGCAGUCGCCGCGGUAAUACGGAGGGUGCAAGCGUUACUCGGAAUCACUGGGCGUAAAGGACGCGUAGGCGGAUUAUCAAGUCUCUUGUGAAAUCUAACGGCUUAACCGUUAAACUGCUUGGGAAACUGAUAAUCUAGAGUAAGGGAGAGGCAGAUGGAAUUCUUGGUGUAGGGGUAAAAUCCGUAGAGAUCAAGAAGAAUACCCAUUGCGAAAGCGAUCUGCUGGAACUUAACUGACGCUAAUGCGUGAAAGCGUGGGGAGCAAACGGGAUUAGAUACCCCCGUAGUCCCUGUCUCUUAUAC